CUACCAGACUAUGUUUGAAUACGGCAUACCCAUGAAUUCUGGAACUGUUAUUUCUUAACCCAGUUUGGAGGAUAAGAGCUUACCAACUAGUUAUAAAUAUGCUGAGGUGAUGUAUUGCAAAAUAGCCAACAUACAACAAUUAAAGGAUAAUUGCAGCCUACAUCCUGAUGAAGAUAUGGAAUACCCUCUGUCUGGUCAACAGGAGUUUAAAUAUGGAUGGGACAGUGAUGUGGCAGCUCUUCCCUAGCUCAUUCACCUCUUGCCUUCAUUUGUGGACUGGAGACUGGAGAGGGUCAAUGUGCAACUGAAGCUACUGAUUGUGCUGUGUGAUGAGCAUCAAUCCAUGCUUUGAGGGGGAUGAAUCAGCACAGCCCUGCCUGCUCUGCGUUGGGAACAGAAGUUGCAUCCAGAAUUUUUGCAUCAUUCUGGACCAAAAAGCCAUUCCCUGCAUGAUGAAGACCACUGAUGCAGCCUUCCACUACAUCAUGAGUAAAACAACUACAGAACUAAAUACCAGGUUGGAACGUGUUUAAGAAAAAUGAAACGUCUUUUGAAUUGAAAUGUCUGUUUUGUUAUGGAAAAAUCUUUAGUAUUGUGAAGGAUAAGCAUUUCUGCCUGCCAGUAAGGUAAUUGCAUGUAUUUUAAUGUUCAAGUUUUGAGUAGGGUGGCUAAUUUUUUUUAACUCUUAUUUGAUUUAUUAAAAACUUUAUAAUAAGUGGUUUUCAUGUCACUGCGCUGUGGUAUAAGAUAACUUUCAUUAUUCCAUACUGUAUUAUGUUUUUUAAUUGUAGCUGAGGUAUUUAAAUAAGCAGUGUUAAAUGCAAAGUGUUGUGUGUAUCAAUGUAAAUAUUAAAUGUGAUUUACUUUAAUAAAAAGAGGUUUUGCAAUAU
This is a non-coding RNA of Misgurnus anguillicaudatus (oriental weatherfish), 890 nucleotides long. The record is from RefSeq and is a predicted model, not a curated record. NCBI's taxonomy places the organism in Eukaryota, Metazoa, Chordata, Actinopteri, Cypriniformes, Cobitidae.